AUACAGCUGACGAGUUCGAAAUAGGACGACACGUGUGUCCUGGAU
Molecule: non-coding RNA, 45 nt
Filed under: Schistosoma margrebowiei
Lineage: Eukaryota; Metazoa; Platyhelminthes; Trematoda; Strigeidida; Schistosomatidae
Source: RNAcentral